This 1240-nucleotide long non-coding RNA is filed under the name Mus musculus (house mouse). RNAcentral's name for it is "long non-coding RNA chr5:73557875-73559115". The record is from RNAcentral. Lineage: Eukaryota; Metazoa; Chordata; Mammalia; Rodentia; Muridae.
UCUGCAGUUCGUUUUCACACUACAGAUUGGUGAAUUUGCCAACGUCCUCACUGUGAUUAUGUGUAUAUUGCUGUUUAAAUUUUGUAUAUGUGUAUAAAAUGAAAAGCUUCACCUAGAGAUUAUUUCUGCAAAAAUGUAUUGUAAAAAUAAUUUUGUGGCAUAUUUUUGGUCCCCCCCUUUUUUUUUCAAAUGAACCAGUUAUACUUUAUUUGGUCUCAAAUUUCAGAAAACAUAACUGUCCCCGUAAGCAAGUAUUGCCAGAAUUAACCUCAUUGCUUAAGAGGCCAACUUCUGGAAGAAGUAGGAGCCAUGACUUACUGUGGCAUAAGCCAAAUAUGACUUGGUUUCCUUGACAACUUUGGUAUUUUAAAGUGACAAAAGUUAUUUAUUUGAGUGCACAAACAGCUGACACGCUACAAAGCAUUUCUAACACAAAACGUACAGGUUUAUGGUGUUUUUUCCCUUCCUCUUCCUCCUCUCCUCCUUAAAUUGCUCCUUAUUUUAAAUCGAAGCUUACGUUUCCAUAAACCUUCCUCUGUUUCCCUGCUUUGUGUUCCUCUAGCAGUGCUUGGUCUGCUGAAGCUCUCUGUGCCACUGUGCAAACCGUCCUUUGCCACCCACCCUCAUGAGCCUCCUGGUUUGCUGGCGGCAUGACUGCAAAGCACUUUGAACUAUGCUUGAGAUUUUAGUUACUCUUUCAUGGUGUCUGUAAUACCCUAGGGCUUUGGAGUUGUUUGUUUGUUUUUGUUUUUAAACCACAAGUGAGAGCUGUUUGUUUCCUGUCUUUGUUUCACCCGUGCUGGGCUUCUCCUGGCCACGCGUCCAUUGCAGGCAGUGGACUGAAACCACCAGCAUCGAGCUAACCCUGUUCACACUGGGACCUUUCUCGGAGGGGCCGCUUGCCAUUCCCUGAGUCACAGGUACAGAAGGGUGGUAGUAGCCAUUAUGUGGAUGAGAAACCAGAGCCAACACAGCAGUAGUUGUGAGUUUGUACCUUAUGUCUUACGUUUAAGGUUUGCAUCUGCUUGCUUGCUUGCCUUGCCCCUCGUGCAGAAGUACACAGUUAACAGGUUUCCCCAACCAUGUGGUGCUAUGACUCACUCGGUCCCUGAAGUCUGUGAAAACACAUCUAAGAUUUAACCCAGGAAAGAGCUAAUGGCUGGUUUGCUGGGUAAAUGGUAUAGAGGGAUCCGUGCCUGCCCAGGCAGGUGAUGGCUACAAGAUGGUGGGGUUAUUGGCC